UACAGAGGGGGCAAGCGUUGUUCGGAAUUACUGGGCGUAAAGGGCGCGUAGGCGGCCUGCUAAGUCGAACGUGAAAUCCCUGGGCUCAACCCAGGAACUGCGUCCGAUACUGGUUGGCUUGAAUCCGGGAGAGGGAUGCGGAAUUCCAGGUGUAGCGGUGAAAUGCGUAGAUAUCUGGAGGAACACCGGUGGCGAAGGCGGCAUCCUGGACCGGUAUUGACGCUGAGGCGCGAAAGCCAGGGGAGCAAACGGG
Molecule: ribosomal RNA, 253 nt
Filed under: uncultured bacterium
Lineage: Bacteria
Description: partial 16S ribosomal RNA
Rfam family: Bacterial small subunit ribosomal RNA
Source: RNAcentral